CGUCCCUUUCCUUUUCGGCGGAUAAGAAAAUGACAGGUAUAACUUAAAAUAAAAUUAGAUGGUGUGUAUAGGAAUUAGCACCAUUAUAAAUGUAGUCAUACAUGUAAGGUUUUAAAUUUAUGAAUUCUCUACCAAAUCCGAAUUUCGACUGAUAUCGACUGCCAGGCCAGUUUUUUGAAUCUAAAUGUUGUAAUUACAGAAUUAUAUUGAAUACAUUUGGGAGUAUAAGGCAUCGAAAAAGUUUUUUUUAUUUUUUUUCCGUUCAAAGUCGGUUACGACUGAGUCUUGAAAAUUUUUGCUCAACGUGAGUUAUUAGCGACGAUUACUUUUUUUUUCAUCAGUAUUGUGAAAUUACAUCGAAUAUAACAUUGCACAUAGCUCAGGCGUUGAAGGAAAACAUCGUAAGGAAACCCACAUACGCAAGAAAUGUGCUUUCGGAGGUAUGUGACUUAACCUGUCGAGAGUUUCCCUUUAGGUUCGUAGGUCACACAGGCGACUGCUUCUGUAACGAAACUGGUUCGUUAAAUCUUCAGGUUAGGUGGGCGAAAACCAUGAAGAACGGGAGAUGAUGAUAAUGCUUUACUGUGUUUACAUUCCCAAAGUAACGGCCUCUGUGGUCCAGUGGUUGAACGGUGUGCUUACGAUCCGGUGGGGACAAAUCACGAAAAUCAUCCACCUGAUUGUCUAAAAGUAAGAUGAUCUGUGCUUUGAAAAGUAAAGUAUAGCUUUGCAUUGUUAUGUUGAGAAGUUUGCUCAAAUAAAGCCAAAAGGAUAUUUAUAUUGCCGUCGUAAACAACCUUACACUUUCAAAUGUAUUAAUUUAAUCAUUAUAAGUAUAUUCGUGAAUUAAUUAGUAUAAAAUUCAGAUGUUUGUGUAUGAAAAUAGACAAUUUUUAGAUGUGAAAUCACGUUAUUAAAAUUAACGUUUUGUUGCGCAAAUAUAAGAACGAAGAUCAUUUGUCAUUUCACAUCUAAAAAUUUUUAGUCUAUCCCUUUUUAGAAUCUACAUGUGGAGUAUAUUGUUUAAAUAGAAAAAAAAAUAUUGAUGUUAUGUGUUUAAACAUAAAAUCGGUAAUUUAAUAAGUGUAAGUAUAUUAUUAUACGCGGCUGCCCAAUUUAAAAUAUGUUAUUUACUUUUGCAAAAGUCAACUGUAGUGACAGUCACCACCUGAAGUACGCAAGCGGUUAGACGGAUCCCCUCGGCAUAGAAUAAAGAAUAAUACUACGUAUAGAACGGAAACUCUCCGCUCCCCACCAGCGGCUGAGCUAGGUUUACCUCACCCCCUUUAGUCUUCAAUCGCAUGGGCAUCAGACGUCACACACACAGAUGCGCGUGUGCGAUAACUUCAUGUGUAGUGUCUGUGUAAAACGAGGCUUUUUGUAUGAAGUGUCCGGGGUGUGUUCGCGGCGCGCAAGUGACUAUUUGGCGGAACUAACUAGAAAUAAUGACAUUAAGCCGUUGGUCCCGGUUACUACUUACUGAUGUGGACGUAGUCGUUAUAUGAGUCAUGUCAGGGGCCUUUGGCGGCUCAAUAGUAACCCUGACACCAGGGUUAAUGAGGUUGGUAAUUCACCUCACAACCCACACGAUAGAGGAAGAAGAAGAUGACAUUAAGUAUUCACACCUCACCGAGCUUUCUGUUAGACCAACGUGAUAGGUAGUGAGCUGUAUCGCCGUCUAUAAUGGUCGAGCCAAAUGUGUUAGUGAAAAUUGCAUUUAUGAUAAAUUAAUAACUCGUUGGUGCAAGACAACAACAUAACAAUGACAAGAGAUAAUGUUCUUUACUUUUUUGGCUUCCUGCAACACCAUGGGCACAGACCCCUUGUCGAUCGGAGAGUAUUUGCCAAGGAUGAGAUAUCUCGAAAUAUUUUAUAUUAUUAAAAUUGGACAGCCGCAAAGUACCUACGCGUAAUAUUUUGAUUGUACAGAACAGGGGGUAAUAAAAAGGCCACAUUGUUGGAAUUCAGCUGAAAAAAAUAAUUCAACAAAAAAAAAAAACAACUUUCUUGAAAAGUAAUAUUGCAAUUUGAUUAUGCGGAUAUAAAAGUGAAAUAUUCCUUUUUUAGUGUAAAAUGUCAUAUAGCAAUAUUGCUUUUUUGUAUGAAUUGAUUCAAUGCGGCAAUUUUAACCCUCCAGUGGUCCAUUCCGUAUAGCUACAAAGGUUUUAUUUAACAAAUAAUAACUUUGCUUAAUUAUUCUAAUUACUUAUAUCUGGUCUAACGAUCUUUAUAUACUUAUUUUUAUUUUCUAUGGCUACCAUUUUGAAUUCUGAAUGAUGUUACUUGACAGCUGUCUAAACAACUCAUUUUCCUGAUUUUGUCUCUUUCGCACUAACACACCCCAUUAAUUCUAUACAUAAAUCUCAUUUUGACCGUGUCCCGCUUAACCUUAAGUAUUCGGUAGGCAGUAUACAGUCAUGAGAUUUUUAUAUGGAUUAUCCGGGCUGUGAUAGAAAUUCACUUUUAGAUAUACGAAAAGGACAAGGGGGGUUUAAAAAAGCCACAUGGAAGCAAUUCAUCUAAAAAGCAAUGUUGCUAUUUGAUAAUUCUUGACAUUGCGCACUUUUAUAUGCGCAAAUGUCAAGUUGCAAUAUUGCUUUUUAGAUGAAUUGCUUCUAUGUAGCCCUUUUAACCCCCCAGAUAGAUAUAGAUUGAAACAAACACAGUCACUUUUGGAAACGGGAGUAUUAUUUUUUUGUAAAUUGAAAUGAUAAUAAUACAAAUGUAGGUAGGUGCGAUUUGUGUUUUCAAAAGUGACUGCUUUUGUACGGAGAAAGUUAUUCUUGUACGGAAUACCAUUAGUCAUUGAUAUACUUAUUAUUUAGCAAAUAAAUCAGUGUAUUCACUUA
RNAcentral lists this long non-coding RNA (2849 nucleotides) under Pectinophora gossypiella (pink bollworm). RNAcentral's name for it is "uncharacterized LOC126377276". The record is from RNAcentral. Lineage: Eukaryota; Metazoa; Arthropoda; Insecta; Lepidoptera; Gelechiidae.